Molecule: long non-coding RNA, 1678 nt
Organism: Triticum urartu
Lineage: Eukaryota; Viridiplantae; Streptophyta; Magnoliopsida; Poales; Poaceae
Source: RefSeq, a predicted model, not a curated record
CCGAAACACUUACCCGGUCUCUCUCCCCCGUGCAACCUGCGGCCGUUCCCCACGAGGCCACGACCCACUCCUCUGCCACGAACUCACCUUCUCCCUCCCCCUGCGCACACCUUCCUCCACGGCCGGCCAGAUCUGCUGCAUUCACCUCCAUUGACCUGGCCCUCGCGUUGGCCCGUCUCCAUCGAGCCAAAUCCUACGCCGGAGCUCCUCCUUCCUCGGCCUUCUUCUCCGCCAAACCGGCAGCGAAGCACCCCGCCAGAGCAGACGCGUUCCCCAGCCCCGGACCGGCGGCGACGCGACCCCGCGCCCUGCUUCUCCCUCUCGGCGUCAUCCUGCACCCUGCAGCGUCGAUCCCUUGCCAGGUCUUGGCAUCCCGUGACUAGGAGUUCGAUUCCUGUUGGAUCCAGGCCCUUCGCGUCCAACAACGACAACAAAAGAAGGCAGCAGCUGCUCCGGCCGCCCCCGCAGAUUCCAACCGGAGACGGCCCCCUCUACUCAUGCGCCCCUCGAAGAUCCCCUACAGUUCAACUCCCUGGCCGCGAAGUACAGGGAGGAUUCUCUCAAAGCCUUGCCUCAAACUCUCCGUCCAAAGCCAUGACUGCAGGGGUCAUGUGGACGACGGCGAGAAGCACGGCGAGGUGGAUGCGGCGUAGUACCUCACUAGAUUCCCCUCGUGCUCUUCGUCCACAGGAUCAAUUCACCGAAGCAACAUCAGCAACAAUAUGUGCAAGCAAACAAGCAAGCAGGCAAGCUGGUUGAUUGAUGAACAGUAGCUGCAGCCUCUUCAUAGAAAGUUGCCUAUAAUAUUUUUUUGGCAUAUGAUUUACGGCAACUAGCAAGCGGAGGGGAUGAGAGAGGUGUCGGAGUACCAGCGACCAGCAAGAGAAACAAGAGGAAGAGCCAAGGAGACAACACCAUCCGUGCGCCACGACCAUCUAGCGGGUGGAGCUAGAUCCGGGAAAGCAUUGUCUCGAGUGGUCGAGAAACUGGUCCGUAAAUCACCGGGCCUCACUAAAUUCUAAAACAGUGUCAAGGCAACAUGGUUUUAUGCACACGCCCACGCAAGAAGCUUCAAAAUCCACUUCGAGGUGUAGUAUAAAUCAAAUAUUAUCUACUCAUGCUUGAAGAAACAAGGGGAAAACAAUGGAAAAAGUGUUGCAAUUAGGAUGACCAAGGCAAGGAAAAAUCAAACCUUCUCUUUCUUUUCCUCCUCUGCACCCUGGUUCAUUUUUAGCAAGCAAGAUUUUUGCUACACACUUCAAGAGUUUUGUAAAACAGGAGGCGUCUAAGAGGGCACAUCAAGAUGGAAGCUCACCUUUUAGGUCCAUGGCCAUCAAAACGAGGGGCAGCAGUUGUGGCAAUGGAGGAGAGGACAGAUGGAGAAGGGGAGGUCAAGCGGGGGUGUUUGGGGAGGUAGCGACUGGGAAGGAGGGAAGGAGGGUUUGGUGCGUCGGCGCUAAUGUCGAGAACGGAGCAGCAGUUGCUAUCAUGACAGAUUCUCCCCUGGGGGCCAUGGGCGUGAGGCGGCCGUUUGUUUCCUUUUUUGGUUUGCCAGCUGGAUCCGGGGAGAGGCCCACUACUAAUUUUGGGGUGUGUGCCCUGGGCCGCUAGCCAGCCGUUGCUGGCUAAUCACGUCCAAAAAAAGUAGAAUGCUUGUCUUGCCUAAAAAAGAGUAAAA